This 497-nucleotide ribosomal RNA is filed under the name uncultured bacterium. Its description in RNAcentral is "partial 16S ribosomal RNA". It matches the Rfam family "Bacterial small subunit ribosomal RNA", at positions 28 to 507 of the family's 1533-position model. The record is from RNAcentral.
GAUGAACGCUGGCGGCGUGCCUAACACAUGCAAGUCGAACGAACAGACGCUGCUCUUGCUCGUCGGUCGUUUGCGGCGCGCGUGUGAGUAACACGUGUAUCCCCUCCCUCUCUGUCUGGGAUAUUCACGGGAAACCGGAUCAUAUCCCGUAUAAUCUCCUGCUCCGCAGGGGGCGAUGGUGAAAUACGGUUUUUCUGUCUCUUCUAGCUGCUUACGGGCCGCAUUAGCUGGUUGGUGCGGUAACGGCCUAUCACGGCGACGAGGCGUAGCCGACCGGUGAGGGUGAUCGGCGACACGGGAACUGGGCCACGGACAAGAGUCCUACGGGAGGCAGCAGUCGGGAAUCUUCCGCAGUGGGCGAAAGCCUGACGGAGCAAGGCGGCGUGAGUGAUGAAGGUCUUGGGAGCGUAAAACUCUGUUAUUAGGGAAGAACAAAUGUGUAAGUAACUAUGCACGUCUUGACGGUACCGAAUCAGAAAGCCACGGCUAACUACGUG